This 265-nucleotide unclassified non-coding RNA is filed under the name Hevea brasiliensis (rubber tree). The record is from RNAcentral. Lineage: Eukaryota; Viridiplantae; Streptophyta; Magnoliopsida; Malpighiales; Euphorbiaceae.
AUAUGUCAUUGUAUUUUUUUUUUUAACUUUUAGAACAUAUAUCAUUUCUAAUUAAUUUUAAGAAUUUUUAUCAAAUCUUACAAUUCAAUUUGAUUCUCGAUUCAUUAAAUGAAGAUUUUAAUUCGAUUUGACAACUAUGGGUCAACAACAUAUAACAGUACAAAAGCAAAUCAUUAAUCAAAACAUAUAAACAAAUAUUUUGAAUUUUAAUGUUAAUUAGGUAACAAGGUAGCCAGCCGGAGUAGACUUCAUAUAAUUGAUAAAA